This 1906-nucleotide ribosomal RNA is filed under the name human gut metagenome. Its description in RNAcentral is "bacterial LSU rRNA". It matches the Rfam family "Bacterial large subunit ribosomal RNA", at positions 888 to 2809 of the family's 2925-position model. The record is from RNAcentral.
GAUCAUUGAUGGGGGUAGAGCACUGAAUGUGCGCGGGGGCCACAAAGCCUACCAAACGCUAUCAAACUUCGAAUACCAUACAAUGCAGACCAUGGGAGUCAGUCCGCGAGAGAUAAGUUCCGCGGGCAAAAGGGGAACACCCCAGAUCAACCGCUAAGGUCCCCAAGUUCACGUUAAGUGGAGAAGGAUGUGGAAUUGCACAGACAACCAGGAUGUUGGCUCAGAAGCAGCCACACAUUUAAAGAGUGCGUAAUAGCUCACUGGUCGAGUGAUUGUGCGCCGAAGAUGUCCGGGGCUAAACGUGACACCGAAGCGAUGGGUGCAUCUGAAAGGAUGCGCGGUAGAGGAGCAAUGUGCAGAGGCAGAAGCCGUAUCGAGAGGCACGGUGGACACUGCACAAGAGAGAAUGCCGGUAUGAGUAGCGAGAGGCAUGCGAGAAACAUGCCCGUCGAAAGCCCAAGGUUUCCUGGGGAAGGUUCAUCCGCCCAGGGUAAGUCGGGGCCUAAGCCGAGGACGGAAGUCGUAGGCGAUGGACAGCAGGUGUAGAUUCCUGCACUACCGAUGGAAUGAAGCAGUGACACAGAAGGAUAACUCGAGCAGGGUGAUGGUCAACCCUGUGCAAGCAUCAAGGUUGGGUUGUAGUGAAGUACGCAACCCUAUAAGCUGAGGUGUGAUGCGGACCGAAAUUUCAGUAGGGAAGCGAGUGAGUUCACGCUGGCGAGAAAAGCUGCUAGUACAUCCAAAGGUACCCGUACCGGAAACCGACGCAGGUGGGCGAGGAGAGAAUCCUGAGACGAACGGGAGAACCCUUGUUAAGGAACUCGGCAAAAUGACCCCGUAACUUCGGGAUAAGGGGUGCCUGCGAGAGCAGGCCGCAGAGAAUAGUCACAAGCGACUGUUUAGCAAAAACACAGGUAUCUGCGAAAGCGAGAGCUGACGUAUAGGUGCUGACACCUGCCCGGUGCUGGAAGGUUAAGGGAACAUGUUAGAGCAAUCGAAGCAUCGAACCGAAGCCCCAGUAAACGGCGGCCGUAACUAUAACGGUCCUAAGGUAGCGAAAUUCCUUGUCGGGUAAGUUCCGACCCGCACGAAUGGUGUAACGACUUGUGAGCUGUCUCAACAGGGGGCCCGGUGAAAUUGAAGUAUGGGUGAAGAUGCCCAUUACCCGCGACUGGACGGAGAGACCCCGUAGAGCUUUACUGCAGCCUGAUAUUGAGUUUCGGUAACUGAUGCACAGGAUAGGUGGGAGUCUGAGAGACAUGGGUUUCGGCUCAUGUGGAGACGGUGUUGGGAUACCACUCUUCGGUUACUGAAAUUCUAACAUAGCUCUGUGAAACCAGAGGAUGGACAGUGUCAGGUGGACAGUUUGACUGGGGCGGUCGCCUCCGAAAGAGUAACGGAGGCGCCCAAAGGUACCCUCAGAAUGGAUGGAAACCAUUCGAAGAGCGCAAAGGCAGAAGGGUGCCUGACUGCGAGAUUGACAAAUCGAGCAGAGACGAAAGUCGGGCUUAGUGAUCCGGCGGUAUUGAGUGGAAAAGCCGUCGCUUAACGGAUAAAAGCUACCUCGGGGAUAACAGGCUGAUCUCCCCCAAGAGUCCACAUCGACGGGGAGGUUUGGCACCUCGAUGUCGGCUCGUCGCAUCCUGGGGCUGAAGCAGGUCCCAAGGGUUUGGCUGUUCGCCAAUUAAAGCGGCACGCGAGCUGGGUUCAGAACGUCGUGAGACAGUUCGGUCCCUAUCCAUCGUGGGCGUAGGAGUCAUGAGAGGAGCUGUUCCUAGUACGAGAGGACCGGAAUGGACGCACCACUGGUGCAACUGUUGUCGUGCCAACGGCAUAGCAGGGAAGCGAAGUGCGGAUGGGAUAAACGCUGAAGGCAUCUAAGCGUGAAGCCCACCUCAAGAAUAAG